GCGGGAAGAAGCUCAAAUUUGAAAUCUGGUAGCCUUCGGUUGCCCGAGUUGUAAUCUAGAGAAGUGUUUUCCGUGCCGGCCCAUGUACAAGUCCCUUGGAACAGGGCGUCAUAGAGGGUGAGAAUCCCGUCCUUGACAUGGACCCCCGGUGCUUUGUGAUACACUUUCAACGAGUCGAGUUGUUUGGGAAUGCAGCUCAAAAUGGGUGGUGAAUUCCAUCUAAAGCUAAAUAUUGGCGAGAGACCGAUAGCGAACAAGUACCGUGAGGGAAAGAUGAAAAGCACUUUGGAAAGAGAGUUAAACAGUACGUGAAAUUGUUGAAAGGGAAACGAUUGAAGUCAGUCAUGCUCUUAGGAUUCAGCCGUUCUGCGGUGUAUUUCCUUUGAGUGGGGUCAACAUCAGUUUUGAUCGAUGGAUAAAGGCACGAGGAAGGUAGCACUCUCGGGUGAACUUAUAGCCUCGCGUCAUAUACAUUGAUUGGGACUGAGGAACGCAGCAUGCCUUUAUGGCCGGGAUUCGUCCACGUACAUGCUUAGGAUGUUGACAUAAUGGCUUUAAACGACCCGUCUU
RNAcentral lists this ribosomal RNA (570 nucleotides) under Naganishia diffluens. Its description in RNAcentral is "partial large subunit ribosomal RNA". It matches the Rfam family "Eukaryotic large subunit ribosomal RNA", at positions 97 to 655 of the family's 3401-position model. The record is from RNAcentral. Lineage: Eukaryota; Fungi; Basidiomycota; Tremellomycetes; Filobasidiales; Filobasidiaceae.